RNAcentral lists this ribosomal RNA (239 nucleotides) under uncultured bacterium. RNAcentral's name for it is "partial 16S ribosomal RNA". It matches the Rfam family "Bacterial small subunit ribosomal RNA", at positions 15 to 236 of the family's 1533-position model. The record is from RNAcentral.
GAUCAUGGCUCAGGAUGAACGCUGGCGGCGUGCUUAACACAUGCAAGUCGAACGAAGCACUUAAGUUUGAUUCUUCGGAUGAAGACUUUUGUGACUGAGUGGCGGACGGGUGAGUAACGCGUGGGUAACCUGCCUCAUACAGGGGGAUAACAGUUAGAAAUGGCUGCUAAUACCGCAUAAGACCACGGCACCGCAUGGUGCAGGGGUAAAAACUCCGGUGGUAUGAGAUGGACCCGCGU